AGUAAGCAAUAACUGCACUGAAAAACAGCUAGAUUGGAUGUACAGCUGAGAAAUUGCGGUGGGCGUAAAGUGGGUGGCAGCGUCUAAUAGGAGACUCGGCUGCAUUUAUAAAAUAGUGCUCCAUAAAAAUCUGAUAACAAAAUACGAUAUAAUAAUAAAAUUAUGCUAAAAACUAGUUCUACCGUGAGAUCGUCAUUCACCGAAGAAGUAAUUAAAGAUAAAAGGAGAUAAAUGCCUUUUUUCUUUUUGUUUUACUGGGCGGAUUGUAAUAGUUAGGGUAGCGAACUACUUGGGCAGCGGCCGGUAUUUUGGACACUCUUCGACAUAACUCAGUCAAUUCCAAACCAAUGGACUUGAAAUUUUGUUCACGGCUAGAUACUAUACGUAUCUCAUCGCGUUGGGUCAAUUGGUUCAAAAUUGGCUGAGUUAUAGUGGAAAACAGACGAAUAUAGAAGCCACCGCCCAAGUGGCGCGAUACCCUAUUACCUAGUGAAUAUAAAAUUUUCUAACCAGUUCGUUACGAAACGCUGUGGCACUACGUCAAUCUUGAAUGAUGGAGUUUUGAUUGCAAAACUUGAUAUUGGUGUACUAUUGAUGAUCAAAUAUGUGUAAAGUCCUAUUAAUUUAAUAAUAACUGAAAUUGUUCUACAACAAAACAUGUUAUUGAAAUGUUAUUGAAAGAAAAUAUACCAAUAGCACGAUCAUAACAAAAUAAGAUUGUCCAACAAAAUAUGUUAUGGAAAGGUAAAGCCUCUAUAAGUAAAUAAUAACAAACCAUGAUAUAAAAACAGAUUUUGCGAUUCCGUUGUUAUCAAUUUGAUAUUCUCCUCAGCUCGGGUACUGCUUCUACUCUAGAACCAUACUUAAUACAUUUUGAUGUAUCCGUUAUAAAGUUAUGUUUUUUAUGUGUCUGAUUAAGCUGUUUUUUGUAUUGAAAUAUUCAAACUGCGAUAACUUUCAAAAUAUUCUACCAAAAUAGCUCAUAAUUUGAUCGAAAUUAUACUUUUAUAAUAUUUGAUUACGGUCGAUUUGUGAUAAGAAUCGGAGCGACAGUUGUACUCUCAAGAUUCGUAAAAAAAUACCUAAAAUAUACUAUGAUUGAAACUACAUCAGUUUUAAAUUUAAAAAAGGUUAGGGACAAAACGUCGAAUGUCAAAACUUCGAGUGUCGACACGUCGAAAAGUGAUAGAAUGGGGUUCCCUAAAAAUAAUAAAACACUCACUAUUUGCUUAUAUGACUCAUUUUGGACGUUUUGUCCUUUCGAUAUUUUAUCCCUUUCGACGCUUUGUCAUUCGACUUUUUGGCAUUCGACUUUUUGUCUUUUGGCAAAACGUCGAAAGGAUAAAACGUCGAAGGUACAAUACGUUGAAAGGACAAAACGUCGAAAAGUGAAAGAAUGGGUUUCCUUUAACCCUGAACGCUAAACGUGUUCUAUUCUAGACCAGCGAGGUUGCAUCCAGAAACAUGGGUGACAAAACGUCGAAAAAUGAAAGAACUCACUAUUUGCUUAUAUGAUUCUUUGAUGUUUUGCCCUUUCGAUGUUUUGUCCCUUUCGACGCUUUGGCAUUAGACCGUUGAGAAUUCGAAAUUUUUAGACGUCGUGUAUAAAUAAAUAGUGAGUUUUUUAUUCUUUUAAAAGAAAGCCAUUAUCCCACUUUUCGACUUUUUUGAGCAUUCGACUUUUUGUCCUAUCGACGUUUUAUCACCCAACCCUAACGGUAUUUCAGAUAUUUAACUACAUUCUCUGUACUUGCAAGUCUUGACAUAAAUAACUAUUUUGGGUUUCUAGUGUAUAAUCAAUCUGAUAAUAUUGACGGGCUUGGUGGUCUAGUGGCUACCGCUUCUGAUUCGUAUGCAGAAGGUCAUGGGUUCAAUCCCUGGCCCGUCCCUUUUCAUCCUACUUUGUAUCUUUCUAUCCACUUCCUCUCUCUCUCUUCUCUACAUAUACAACUCAUGUAUAUUCAUAUGUUCAUAGCCAUCGCUAGAACCAGAAACGAAUUGGAAAAAAGUCGUUUCCCUCCCUUCCAAUUUCCACUCACAGCACAGUGCACAAUGGGUCCAGAGCCGUAUUUACGAAGACGAAAAUGUUUGUGCCUAAACCAUAAGUUUUAGAUACAUGGUGUCUUUGGGAAAGUUUCUUCUUAUUUUUCGACCUUUUUUCUCAUUAUUGUAAAAUUAGGGUGGUCCCUCUAGUUUCGCUGAUCCAAACAUCUGUUUUUUAAUAGUUUUAUGUACGUUCACAAAAUGUUCUACAAAGUUGUAAAAGAACUUAUUUGGAGCAAGUUUGCCGAAGAAACCAUUAUUCUAUCUCUUAUGGUUCCUAACUUAUAAUUUUUUAAAAGAUUCAUGUUAGGGUGAUCCAUGAAUUUCAGUUUUCCUGAAAUAACUUUUAAUUCGUUCGUUUCUCGUGAAUACUUUGUUCCGAGCACUUUUAGAACUAUUAACGACGCAUAUUUUUUCCAAAGAGCUCAAAGUUCUAACUCGCGUGGUUUAAAAGAUAUUGGCAUUUUUCUUCGAAAAAUCACUUUUUUUCAAAAAGCCAUAUCUCAAAAAGGAGCAAAUGGAUUUUCAAUCUCCCGGUUGCAUUGGAAAGAUCGUACUCUGUUCUAUUUGUGGUGAAAAAACUGUAGGUACCUUUUUUGUUUAAAGCUUUUUAUUGAAUUUUGAGAAUACGAUUUUUUUUUCGUGGAAAAGCAGUUGUAACUUUGAAAAUCGAUGAGAUACAAACUUGGCGUCUUCGACAAAAUUGUGAGUUUUUGGCUGUUAUAAAAAGACCCAGAACAAAGUAUUGCGAAAAAAUCAACACAUAAAAUUAUAUUGAAUAAAAACAGAUUUUCAUAUGAAAAAUGACACAUUUCAAGCAAAUUCAACUCGUCUUUGUUAGAUAGACCAAAGUAGCUUGGUAAAUGGUCAUCCAUUUCAUUCUAGAACCAAUGUUUAUUUAUACUGUCAUCACCAGUUAGGCACAAUGUUGUUAAGAUAUUGUAAAUGAUGUAACUUUGAUAGGCUUUUACGUUAACAUGAACAUAUACUAGUGAUUGACAUUUUCACUAUCCAUACAUUGAAGUGAUGAAAUUGAAAUUAAAUUGAUGGAAAUCAGCUCAAAAUAACAUUUUAAGUUGAGUUCAUUGACGAAUUAUGGAUUAUAAGCAAAAUUAAACAUUUUCGACAUGGUUACUUCGAUCUAUCUAACAAAGACUAGUCGAGUUUGCUAAAACUGUUCCGCUUUCCAUAUGAAAAUCGGGUUUUAUUCAAUAUAAUUUUAUGUGUUGAUUUUUUCGCAAUACUUUGUUCUGGGCACUUUUAGAGCAGCCAAAAACUCACAAUUUUGUCGAAGACGCCAAAUUUGUAUCUCAUCGAUUUUCAAAGUUACAACUGCAUUACCAUGAAAAAAAUCGUAUUUUCAAAAUUUAAUAAAAAGUUUUAAACAAAAAAGGUACCUACAGUUUUUUCACCAUGAAUAGAACAGAGUACGAUCUUUCCAAUGCAACCAAGAGAUUGAAAAUCCAUUUGCUCCUUUAUGAGAUAUGACAUUUUGAAAAAAAGUGAUUUUUAGAAGAAAAAUGCCAAUUUCUUUUUAACUAUGAGAGAUAGAUCUUUGAGCUCUUUGGAAAAAAUAUGCGUCGUUAAUAGUUCCAGAAGUGCUCGGAACAAAGUAUUUACUAAAAACGAACGAAUCAAAAGUUAUUUCAGGAAAACUGAAAUUCAUGGAUCACCCUAACUUGAAUCUUUUAAAAACGUAUAAGUUAGGAACAAUAAGAGAUAGAAUAAUGGUUUCUUCGGCAAACUUGCUCCAAAUAAGUUCUUUUACAACUUUGUAGAACAUUUUGUGAACGUACAUAAAACUAUUAAAAAGCAGAUGUUUGGAUCAGCGAAACUAGAGGGACCACCCUAAUUUUACAAUAAUGAGGUAACAGGUCGAAAAAUAAGAAGAAACUUUUCCAAAGACACCAUUUAUCUAAAGCUUAAGGUUUAGGCACAAACAUUUUUGUCUUCGUAAACACGGCUCUGGACCCAUUGUGCAGUGUAUGUAUAUAAACGCCUACAAGUUAUGCAACCAACGCGUGCUGUGCCGCUUGACCUUAUUCACCUCAUUCACCACACAAUCUAUCACCUUACGAACACUAUAAAUAAUUCCCUAUCCAUGGAUCGCAUCACCGACCCAACGGUGACUCCCAGAUCUCCCAUCCUUUCCGUCUAACAAAUACCCCAGUCCGUGCUGGUUGUGGGGAUGCAGAGGUGAUUUCGGUCUUUAGUAGCAACAACCAGCACACUCUAACAUUCCUUUCCCUUCCCAACUGACUAUAGGGACGUGGCCGGCACCGGUAUUGAUCCAAAAUGUAUGAGCUGCUAGAAUUGCACUUUGAGAAUAAGUGGAGUGUCCCAGCCCUUAUUCAUUUGGAUCUCAGUGCAAUUGGUACCAGCUCAGAUCAAUAACGGAGUAGCAACCAUUGACAUGUAUAGUCAGAUUUGAUCAUUAAUUGAUGAUGAUGAUUGAUCGUUUAUAAUCAAUCUGAUAAAAUUUUUAGCUGAUCCAUGUUUUUGCCUUUCUCGUACACUAAGUGUACUGGAAAGGCUAUAUGUUCACUCAAAAAAUGACUUUUUGAUAGGAGGCCCGGAGAUUCGAGUCACAUAUACCAAUCAACUCAGCUCGACGAAUUGAGGUGAUGUCUGUGUGUGUGUAUGUGUGUGUGUAUGUGUACAAACGAACUCACGUCACUUUUCGGCAGUAAAUCUCAACCGAUUUUAAUGACCGACGGUUCAUUCGACGCGGAAUCUGGUCCCAUUGUUUGGUAUUGAAAAUGGUUCGGAUCGGUCCAGCCGUUCCGGAAUUAUGGCCAUUUAGGCGUUCCGGAUCGGUACCCCAGGAAGGGGCUAGAUAUGAAAAUGCAACAAACC
Aedes albopictus (Asian tiger mosquito) is the source of this 4899-nucleotide long non-coding RNA. RefSeq lists it as uncharacterized. Lineage: Eukaryota; Metazoa; Arthropoda; Insecta; Diptera; Culicidae. The record is from RefSeq and is a predicted model, not a curated record. The transcript has 2 exons.